Molecule: ribosomal RNA, 144 nt
Filed under: Promethearchaeota archaeon
Lineage: Archaea; Promethearchaeati; Promethearchaeota
Description: Candidatus Lokiarchaeota archaeon (marine sediment metagenome) partial 16S ribosomal RNA
Rfam family: Archaeal small subunit ribosomal RNA
Source: RNAcentral
GCACACACCGCCCGUCAAACCACCCGAGUGAGGUCUGGAUGAGGCUGUGGUCGUUGCCGCAGUCGAAUCUAGGUUUCGCAAGGGGGGUUAAGUCGUAACAAGGUAGCCGUAGGGGAAUCUGCGGCUGGAUCACCUCCUAACGAU